UACACCCUGCUAUGUUUGUGUCAGCCGUAUUAAGUUUUGAGCUAACACCAUUUAAAGGGGAGCCUGACUCUGUGUGCGGCGCAUAUGCCUUUCCUUGCAAAGGACAUGUAAAGUACACAGGAGGGCACCCACCUGUAGAGAGAGCAGUUCAAAACUCACGGUGAAUCACGGCAUGGUGGGGUUUCU
RNAcentral lists this non-coding RNA (186 nucleotides) under Bacillota bacterium. RNAcentral describes it as "Firmicutes bacterium (anaerobic digester metagenome) 6S RNA". It matches the Rfam family "6S / SsrS RNA". Rfam says of the family: E. coli 6S RNA was the first non coding RNA to be sequenced, but its function was unknown until recently. The record is from RNAcentral. Lineage: Bacteria; Bacillati; Bacillota.